This is a transfer RNA of Microsporum canis CBS 113480, 72 nucleotides long. It matches the Rfam family "tRNA". From Rfam's summary of the family: Transfer RNA (tRNA) molecules are approximately 80 nucleotides in length. Their secondary structure includes four short double-helical elements and three loops (D, anti-codon, and T loops). Further hydrogen bonds mediate the characteristic L-shaped molecular structure. tRNAs have two regions of fundamental functional importance: the anti-codon, which is responsible for specific mRNA codon recognition, and the 3' end, to which the tRNAs corresponding amino acid is attached (by aminoacyl-tRNA synthetases). tRNAs cope with the degeneracy of the genetic code in two manners: having more than one tRNA (with a specific anti-codon) for a particular amino acid; and 'wobble' base-pairing, i.e. permitting non-standard base-pairing at the 3rd anti-codon position. The record is from Rfam. NCBI's taxonomy places the organism in Eukaryota, Fungi, Ascomycota, Eurotiomycetes, Onygenales, Arthrodermataceae.
AAGAAAUUAGCUCAGCGGUAGAGCUAUCGUUUUACACACGAAGGGUCAGGUGUUCAAAUCACCUAUUUCUUA